AUCGGUUUUCGGCCUUUUGGCUAAAAUCAAGUGUAGUAUCUGUUCUUGGGUUUGGGGGAUUAAGAGAGCUGACCAUAGAAGAGAGAAUUUUAACCAUAAAAGUGGUGAUUUUACCCUUGGUUUUACUAAUCAGUUCUGUUUUCAUCCCAACAAGGAAGGUGCUUUUAGAGUUGGACCGAGCCAUUUUUUACUUCAU
Molecule: small nuclear RNA, 196 nt
Organism: Syngnathus typhle (broad-nosed pipefish)
Lineage: Eukaryota; Metazoa; Chordata; Actinopteri; Syngnathiformes; Syngnathidae
Product: U2 spliceosomal RNA
Exons: 1
Source: RefSeq, a predicted model, not a curated record